GGAAAGGUGCCCGAGUGGCUGAAGGGGCCUCCCUGCUAAGGAGGUAAACAGAGGAAUCUGUUUCGCGGGUUCGAAUCCCGCUCUUUCCG
RNAcentral lists this transfer RNA (89 nucleotides) under Rothia mucilaginosa. RNAcentral's name for it is "tRNA-Ser". It matches the Rfam family "tRNA". Rfam says of the family: Transfer RNA (tRNA) molecules are approximately 80 nucleotides in length. Their secondary structure includes four short double-helical elements and three loops (D, anti-codon, and T loops). Further hydrogen bonds mediate the characteristic L-shaped molecular structure. tRNAs have two regions of fundamental functional importance: the anti-codon, which is responsible for specific mRNA codon recognition, and the 3' end, to which the tRNAs corresponding amino acid is attached (by aminoacyl-tRNA synthetases). tRNAs cope with the degeneracy of the genetic code in two manners: having more than one tRNA (with a specific anti-codon) for a particular amino acid; and 'wobble' base-pairing, i.e. permitting non-standard base-pairing at the 3rd anti-codon position. Lineage: Bacteria; Bacillati; Actinomycetota; Actinomycetes; Micrococcales; Micrococcaceae. The record is from RNAcentral.